This 69-nucleotide transfer RNA is filed under the name Synodus foetens (inshore lizardfish). RNAcentral's name for it is "tRNA-Ala". It matches the Rfam family "tRNA". From Rfam's summary of the family: Transfer RNA (tRNA) molecules are approximately 80 nucleotides in length. Their secondary structure includes four short double-helical elements and three loops (D, anti-codon, and T loops). Further hydrogen bonds mediate the characteristic L-shaped molecular structure. tRNAs have two regions of fundamental functional importance: the anti-codon, which is responsible for specific mRNA codon recognition, and the 3' end, to which the tRNAs corresponding amino acid is attached (by aminoacyl-tRNA synthetases). tRNAs cope with the degeneracy of the genetic code in two manners: having more than one tRNA (with a specific anti-codon) for a particular amino acid; and 'wobble' base-pairing, i.e. permitting non-standard base-pairing at the 3rd anti-codon position. Lineage: Eukaryota; Metazoa; Chordata; Actinopteri; Aulopiformes; Synodontidae. The record is from RNAcentral.
GAAGCCUUAGCUUAAUUAAAGUGUCUGCUUUGCAUGCAGAAGAUGUGGGUUAAUGCCCUGCAGGUUUUA